GCCCUGAACCACGCUAUCUGCAGCUCUGGAAACAAUAUUUAGUCAAAUCUAAAGAGAAGUAAACAACUGAUGUAGCUGUUCCUCCCUUGGCUGAGGAGUUCAUUAUUUUCACUCUGAUAAGCUGCUCAACAGUAUAGGGUCAAUGGGCAACCACCAAAGCUGAUAUUUCUACAGAAAUCGAGUACCUCGCGAGUUGUUAUCAACUUUAUGAGUCAUUACACAUUUCUUUUGAAAAAGGACAGAGGGUUUUGUUUUCCUCACUAAGUGCUGAGAAGCUGCUCUCUGUCUCUUCUCUUUUACUAACAUCUCAUUCUUUGGGUUCCUUAGGGUAGUGGCUGAUGAGGAAAUAAUUCACAACAGUUUAAUUUUUCACAACUCAGGUAGGAAGAAGGCAUUUAGUACAACAAUAUCCUCAAACGUCCAGUGCACUUGCUCUUAUGAUUGUGUAUCAAGAUCCCUGCAGUUGGUUGUCAAUCCUUGAACCAUCCCGGUAUCUACUUCUCUGGUUUUUACCCCUCUUCACCACUAGAAUCAUAGACUGUAUAUGUCCAGCAUUUCUACUCCUGUAUCAGAUCAAAGUGUGGUCUAAAAACCUUAGCAAACUUGGGAAUCUAGGCUUUCAGCUUCCUCAGGCUAGUCAAACUGCUUUCAGAAUCUAAAACUACCAGCAAAAACAGGUUCUUUUGUAAACUCUAUCUUGUCAAAAAAAAAAGAAGAAAAGAGAGAUGGAUAAGAUGGAUAUAUAUUAUCACCAGUCUCUGGCGUAUGAUGAAAGGUUUGACUAAACUUACUUAGGAAGCAUAUUCCUGUUAACAACAAUUCCAGGCAUGUUCCUUUGAGUAUAAAUACACGCAUGUACUUCAGAGAAUGUAAAUCCACAGAGUCAUUUGUUGUGAUUGGCUCUUGGGCCUUUGGCAGCUAAUGCUGUCUCAGCCGAGAAAAUUGCUGUGAGGUGAGUUCUGACAGGUCCGGGUGUACCAAAGCAGAGGCCAUACUGCAGGCGACUUUCACUUUCAGUGAAACUACCUUAAUUGAGUCUUUUGGUAACUUCCAGCCAAUAAAUAGCUAGUCAC
This 1073-nucleotide long non-coding RNA is filed under the name Equus caballus (horse). RNAcentral describes it as "lncRNA (ENSECAG00000047087.1)". The record is from RNAcentral. Lineage: Eukaryota; Metazoa; Chordata; Mammalia; Perissodactyla; Equidae.